GCGUUCCCUACUGGAGAGAGGCCGCCGCAAAGACGGCCCACCGAAGGAGCAAACCCGCAUCGCCGGGCGAAUCUCUCAGGUAAAGUGGACAGCAGGGGCAAC
RNAcentral lists this non-coding RNA (102 nucleotides) under Polaromonas sp. Its description in RNAcentral is "Glycine sequence". It matches the Rfam family "Glycine riboswitch aptamer". Rfam says of the family: This family represents the bacterial glycine riboswitch. Glycine riboswitches usually consist of two metabolite-binding aptamers domains with similar structures in tandem. The aptamers cooperatively bind glycine to regulate the expression of downstream genes. Lineage: Bacteria; Pseudomonadati; Pseudomonadota; Betaproteobacteria; Burkholderiales; Comamonadaceae. The record is from RNAcentral.